This 1130-nucleotide long non-coding RNA is filed under the name Ursus maritimus (polar bear). RNAcentral describes it as "lncRNA (ENSUMAG00000002216.1)". Lineage: Eukaryota; Metazoa; Chordata; Mammalia; Carnivora; Ursidae. The record is from RNAcentral.
CAGCAGGCCAUGUGCCUCUCUGCCUGCACACCGCCUCGGUAUUUUCCAUGGACACGUGCCCUCAUUACCAGCUCUGCAAUUCCACCCUUUCCUCUGGCCUGCCCCGAGAUCAGCCUGGAGGGGCUCCAGGCCAGGGUUUGGGGUGCUGGGAAGGGGAGGGAGCAUCUCUGACCUUGCAGUUCCUGGAAAGGGGUGAGGCCCUGGGUGGACCUGGAACCUCCCUGGAGCCCAUGAGCUCUGGGUGAAUGCCCUGAAUGCAGGCGGGUCCCGGGGACCACUCCCCUUCCUGUCCACAAGUGUCUGAAGCCGGACAGAGGCAUGAGGAGAGUGAGAUACGGCCGUCUGGCUGGGAAGCCGAAGAUGCAGUGGGAACCAGUUCCCAGGGCGACUGGAAAGAAAGAAAGCACACAAUCACCCGCUGCCUGCCUGCCUCUGGUCAUGCCUCUACCAAUGCUAGCUCUGCCUACCAUCAGUGUGUGGGGUGUGGUGCCACUUCGUCCUGAGAUGCCACCAGUCUAGCCCUCAUGUCUGGCAUAUCCACCUUUUGGAGUAAGCUGAUCCUGCUCUGACACUUGUUCUCACGUUGCUUGCCAGGGCUGAUUCUGCAGAAGGCUCAGUGGGUGGUGUUCUCUUUCUGCCUCUUCUCUUGUGAUGGGCAGAUCUGAAGAUGACUCCCAAUGAUCUCUGUCUUUUGGUAUCCACCUCCUUGUGUAGUCCCCUCCCCUUGAGUGUGGGUGGAAACUGUGACUUAACUUCUAGCAAAAAGAAAGCAAAGGUGAUGGGAUGUCACUUCCCUGCUUACAUUACAUAGAAUAUAACUUCCCUCUUGCUAGCUUCCCUCUACUGCCUUCUUGGCUUGCAUGGAUGCCAGCAGCCAUUUUGAGGAGACUCACAUGACACAGAACUGAGGGCUGCCUCUGACCCACAGCCUGCAAGGAACUGAACCCUGCCAACAAUUGUUUUCAGAAGUGAAUCCUUCCCCAGUGGAGCUUCAGAUGAGACCCUAACCCAGACCAACAACUUGAUUGCAGCUUUGUGAGAAACCCUGAACCAGAGGACCCAACUAAGCUCUGCCUAAAUUCCUGACCCACAGCAACCAUGAGAUAAUAAAUGUUUGUUGCUUUAAACCA